This 244-nucleotide unclassified non-coding RNA is filed under the name uncultured fungus. RNAcentral describes it as "sequence contains ITS1". Lineage: Eukaryota; Fungi. The record is from RNAcentral.
GUAUUUAAUGCGUUUUAUAGCAAAGGUUACAUUCUAAACUUUAUGUGUGUAUAAAAAACGUAGUGUCUUCCCGCCAGACAGUAUAUCCGGCCGUGAAGCCUUCCAAACCAUCCAUUAAAAAAAAACAACUACAGAAGUGCACAGGGGUGAGUGGAUGAGCAUUGAGCGUGCACAUGCCCUAGAGGACCAGCGACAACCCAAGCCAGACUCGAUAAUGAUCCUUCCGCAGGUUCACCUACGGAAA